UCACGGAACGAAGAAAAGGAAGACAGUUUCGCAGAAGAACGCGAGAAGACUAGGGAGAAAGGAAUGACCUUACUUCGGAGGAUAUUUCGAAUCGAUUCGACGGGGAGAGCUCGUACAAAGACGCAUGGGUGUACCGCGUGAUUCCCACAUGACGUGAUUCGCAUCACUUUGUCAUCCCCGAUCGCUUUCUCGAUACAACGUGAGACAUCGAAGCCAUUCGAAAGGUGGCUGCACAAAAAACAAAUAACGCAAGACCAGUAUUACCGAGACGCAAGCACGAACACGGCGGACAACGAAGGACGAAAGUACGCGUACAAGAAGAAGGUCGAUGCGAUAUCAGCCACUGUUCCCGGAUUUGGCGAUUAUUUCAUUUGUUUAAAUAAUUGCUCCUUCAGACAACAUCGUAAUUACAAAAGCCAGAGCAUGCUUCUCGCAACAGAAAUAGAAGCAGAAAUUUGAUAUCGAGAUGUCCCUACCCAGUGCGAGAUCCGAGCAACGUUAACUAUGCAUUGCAUCUGUCGGUGAUAUCUAUGUACAUUACAACUUGCUGAGAAUAAUACGAAUAGUAAAGCA
Molecule: long non-coding RNA, 573 nt
Organism: Hylaeus volcanicus
Lineage: Eukaryota; Metazoa; Arthropoda; Insecta; Hymenoptera; Colletidae
Exons: 3
Source: RefSeq, a predicted model, not a curated record